Molecule: ribosomal RNA, 492 nt
Filed under: uncultured bacterium
Lineage: Bacteria
Description: partial 16S ribosomal RNA
Rfam family: Bacterial small subunit ribosomal RNA
Source: RNAcentral
AGUGAACGCUGGCGGUAGGCCUAACACAUGCAAGUCGAACGGCAGCACAGUAAGAGCUUGCUCUUACGGGUGGCGAGUGGCGGACGGGUGAGGAAUACAUCGGAAUCUACUUUUUCGUGGGGGAUAACGUAGGGAAACUUACGCUAAUACCGCAUACGACCUACGGGUGAGAGCAGGGGAUCUUCGGACCUUGCGCGAUUGAAUGAGCCGAUGUCGGAUUAGCUAGUUGGCGGGGUAAAGGCCCACCAAGGCGACGAUCCGUAGCUGGUCUGAGAGGAUGAUCCGCCACACUGGAACUGAGAAACGGUCCAGACUCCUACGGGAGGCAGCAGUGGGGAAUAUUGGACAAUGGGCGCAAGCCUGAUCCAGCCAUACCGCGUGGGUGAAGAAGGCCUUCGGGUUGUAAAGCCCUUUUGUUGGGAAAGAAAAGCAGCAGGUUAAUACCCCGCUGUUCUGACGGUACCCAAAGAAUAAGCACCGGCUAACUUCGUG